UGGGGAAUAUUGCACAAUGGGCGAAAGCCUGAUGCAGCAACGCCGCGUGAGUGAUGAAGGCCUUCGGGUUGUAAAGCUCUGUCUUCUGGGACGAUAAUGACGGUACCAGAGGAGGAAGCCACGGCUAACUACGUGCCAGCAGCCGCGGUAAUACGUAGGUGGCAAGCGUUGUCCGGAUUUACUGGGCGUAAAGGAUGCGUAGGCGGAUACUUAAGUCAGAUGUGAAAAUCCCAGGCUUAACUUGGGAACUGCAUUUGAAACUGGGUACCUAGAGUGCGGGAGAGGAAAGUGGAAUUCCUAGUGUAGCGGGGAAAUGCGUAGAGAUUAGGGAGAAAACCGGUGGCGAAGGCGACUUUCUGGACCGUAACUGACGCUGAGGCAUGAAAGCGUGGGGAGCG
RNAcentral lists this ribosomal RNA (398 nucleotides) under uncultured bacterium. RNAcentral describes it as "bacterial SSU rRNA". It matches the Rfam family "Bacterial small subunit ribosomal RNA", at positions 355 to 770 of the family's 1533-position model. The record is from RNAcentral.